This 257-nucleotide ribosomal RNA is filed under the name uncultured bacterium. Its description in RNAcentral is "partial 16S ribosomal RNA". It matches the Rfam family "Bacterial small subunit ribosomal RNA", at positions 524 to 776 of the family's 1533-position model. The record is from RNAcentral.
UACGUAGGGUGCAAGCGUUAAUCGGAAUUACUGGGCGUAAAGCGUGCGCAGGCGGUUUUGUAAGACAGAGGUGAAAUCCCCGGGCUCAACCUGGGAACUGCCUUGUCGUACUGCAUGGCAGCUUGAGUGCGGCAGAGGGGGAUGGAAUUCCGCGUGUAGCAGUGAAAUGCGUAGAUAUGCGGAGGAACACCGAUGGCGAAGGCAAUCCCCUGGGCCUGCACUGACGCUCAUGCACGAAAGCGUGGGGAGCAAACAGG